UCCCUGGGGGACUAGUGGUUUGGCCACAGCGUUCUCAUGGCUGCGGCUUGGGUUCGAGUCCCAGCCAGGGAA
Pangasianodon gigas (Mekong giant catfish) is the source of this 72-nucleotide non-coding RNA. The record is from the annotation of a GenBank genome assembly. Lineage: Eukaryota; Metazoa; Chordata; Actinopteri; Siluriformes; Pangasiidae.